Molecule: ribosomal RNA, 467 nt
Filed under: uncultured bacterium
Lineage: Bacteria
Description: partial 16S ribosomal RNA
Rfam family: Bacterial small subunit ribosomal RNA
Source: RNAcentral
GACGAACGCUGGCGGCGUGCUUAACACAUGCAAGUCGAACGGAAAGGCCCUGCUUUUGUGGGGUGCUCGAGUGGCGAACGGGUGAGUAACACGUGAGAACCUGCCCUUGACUUUGGGAUAACUUCAGGAAACUGGGGCUAAUACCGGAUAGGAGCUCCUGCUGCAUGGUGGGGGUUGGAAAGUUUCGGCGGUUGGGGAUGGACUCGCGGCUUAUCAGCUUGUUGGUGGGGUAGUGGCUUACCAAGGCUUUGACGGGUAGCCGGCCUGAGAGGGUGACCGGCCACAUUGGGACUGAGAUACGGCCCAGACUCCUACGGGAGGCAGCAGUGGGGAAUAUUGCACAAUGGGCGGAAGCCUGAUGCAGCAACGCCGCGUGCGGGAUGACGGCCUUCGGGUUGUAAACCGCUUUCGCCUGUGACGAAGCGUGAGUGACGGUAAUGGGUAAAGAAGCACCGGCUAACUACGUG